Fukomys damarensis (Damara mole-rat) is the source of this 655-nucleotide long non-coding RNA. RefSeq lists it as uncharacterized. The record is from RefSeq and is a predicted model, not a curated record. The transcript has 3 exons. NCBI's taxonomy places the organism in Eukaryota, Metazoa, Chordata, Mammalia, Rodentia, Bathyergidae.
GGCAGCUUGCAGAGGCACAUUGUUUCCUGUGACAUCCUGCGUGUGACCUGGGAUGGGGGAGGGCAACAGCAUCCGGAACUGCAGAUCUGUGGCCCGGUGCCCUGGGGUCUGACUCUCAGGAGUGAGGGCACCUGCAGAUGAGAAAAAUGACCUUCAGAAGGAAAGUUACAGCCCCAAGGCCCAGGACUAGAACCCUGGACUGGGAUUUAAAGCGACCUGGACGUUGAACCCACAGUUGAGUUGCAUGCAGCUCACCUAUUGACCCCGCCCCCGGGAAGCCUCCUCUGAAGCCUUAUACAUCUGGGGGCUCCCCUACAGUCUGUAUGCUUUAGUGAAAAACAGGCAUCUGUUGACAAGCGUGUUGUCUUGCUUAGAUACGGUGUCAUUUAGGGCAUGGACUGUGUUCUUUUUUGGGGAGCAGGGUAGCUUGGCCAGAAGCCUGCGACCUGCGCUCAGCAAUUGAUUUCACAAACAAGCCAGGAGGGAGUUAACCCCGACCUGCCAGGUGCAGAGCAGAAUCUGGAGGCCCAGCCAGGUGCUUCUCAGCUGGGUGUCCCUGCCAGGGCUGGCUGGCACCUGCAAAGAAUCCAGAAGAAUUAGAUCAAACCCCAGGAGGACAUCUAAAGACUUGGAGAAAGGCAAGAAGUUCGCUUAA